GACGAACGCUGGCGGCGUGCUUAACACAUGCAAGUCGAACGGUGAAGCUCCAGCUUGCUGGAGUGGAUCAGUGGCGAACGGGUGAGUAACACGUGAGCAACCUGCCCCUGACUCUGGAAUAAGCGCUGGAAACGGCGUCUAAUACUGGAUACGAGAAGGGUCCGCAUGGGCACUUUCUGGAAAGUUUUUCGGUUGGGGAUGGGCUCGCGGCCUAUCAGCUUGUUGGUGAGGUAAUGGCUCACCAAGGCGACGACGGGUAGCCGGCCUGAGAGGGCGACCGGCCACACUGGGACUGAGACACGGCCCAGACUCCUACGGGAGGCAGCAGUGGGGAAUAUUGCACAAUGGGCGAAAGCCUGAUGCAGCGACGCCGCGUGAGGGAUGACGGCCUUCGGGUUGUAAACCUCUUUCAGCAGGGAAGAAGCGAAAGUGACGGUACCUGCGGAAGAAGCACCGGCUAACUACGUG
RNAcentral lists this ribosomal RNA (468 nucleotides) under uncultured bacterium. RNAcentral describes it as "partial 16S ribosomal RNA". It matches the Rfam family "Bacterial small subunit ribosomal RNA", at positions 28 to 507 of the family's 1533-position model. The record is from RNAcentral.